RNAcentral lists this long non-coding RNA (2466 nucleotides) under Triticum aestivum (bread wheat). Its description in RNAcentral is "long non-coding RNA (TAES_LNC000928)". Lineage: Eukaryota; Viridiplantae; Streptophyta; Magnoliopsida; Poales; Poaceae. The record is from RNAcentral.
CCGCAUAAGGCUUUCUCCCCACUAUAGUUGGAGUUCAAGAGCGUAAGGAAGGUAAUCUGUUGAUCAAUUACUGUUGCUUGUCACAAAACUCUGAAAAAUAUUACUGAGUACAUCGACAACGAGCUAUGCUUGCCAUUUAAAAAAAUAUGCUUAUGUGAGCUGCGUGUCAUAUCAAUUUUUUUAUGCAAGAAGAUCUUGCGAUUUACUUAUGAUUUAUGAACAGAAAUUGUUUACUGCGUAACCCCUAAAUACAGUAGAAGAGAAACAAAUCUUAUAAAACUAUGCUGAGACGAGUAGUACUUAUUUAGUCAAGUGACAUGUUAGAUAAAAUUCCACACCUAUUACAACUUAUCUGACUUCUGUAUUUUUUAAUGAUAGCUGAACUAGAUUGUGUUCCAGGAAUACAAAACCAUGGAUUGUUUCCAUUUAUUCACUUGGCUAUUGGAAUUUGAUUGAUGUCCCCUUCUCCUAUUAUUAACAACAUAUACCUACACGGUUCUGUCUGCUGGUUUGCCAAAUUCUAGACACUUCUUUUGUGGUUCGUGCUUCCGCUUUAUACCAUGCUUGCCUACAUCCGUAGUGUCACUCCUUUAUUCUCUUGAUGUGCUUUUCCUUUACAAGGAAGAAUACACACCAUGAGGAAAAGAGAAGUAAAAUUGUAGCAUAUGGCAACUUUAUAAAUACUAACAUGUUUCUGAUUCAUCAUGAGGUCAUGUACUGAUGGAUUGCAAAAAGAAAAAGAAAAAUAAUGUCAAUUGUUUCUAUAUCACUUUAAUUGGCAUGGUCCAUCUGUAGUGUCGUUCAAUUAUUAGACCACAUUCAAUAUUAUUUUUUGGAUGCCUGCAACUUCCAACUAAAUAGAUCGCCGUAUCGAUAUCUGAUUUGUAUUUGUAGUCUACAAACAAGACAUCCUAAUUAUUUGUUCGAACAUACUACAGUCUUGUUUUCUCUGCCGUGUCAUCUCCUUUUCUUAAUAAUAGUGUCACUGCCUUUGAUUUAUCUGCUCAGAUGUGCUAUUUAGAGUUUGAUCUGGAUAUAUACUAGCUAUUUUAUUAGGAGUUGGUGGUAAAGAUGAACUAAUGGUUGAUCCGCCCUGCUGUCCAUGCUGUACUUCAUGCAAAAUCAUUGGGUCGGUACUGGGAGUACUUCAUUUAUGAUAGAUCUUAUGCUUCAAAGCUUCUUUUUAUUGUCUAAUAUGUUUUAUUUGCACUAAUUUGGCAAAUUUAUUUUAUCUUUUGGCUUAAUAUGUCCCAGGUAUUGAUAUAGUAAUAUUUUUUUACUUGGUUAAUGGUCAAACAUACUGCUUCAGUAUCUUCCGGUAGGUGCCUCAGAAUUAUGCAGUUGAUCAUACCAUACUGCUACUUGAAUAAAAAUGUCUAUCUUUGUGUUCUACAUUGAAGCUAUCAUAUGAAGUUUAAUUAUUUUCAGCGUCCAUCACCAAAACUACUUUGUUUGUAGUAAAAGGCUUCAUAGAAUUUCAUAGAUGUUGCACAUCAUGAGAUUAACCUGUAGAUGUAUUCAUAACCAUAUAGUAGAGGGGAAGAUGCAAACACGACAUGUCUUGGCCUCUCAACCUUUUCUGUUAUAUGGCACGUUUCUAUUAAUUAUUUUGCUUGACAUGAUUCUUUCAAUGGUAACUUUGAUUUUCUCUAACAGGUAGGAACAAAAGUAUUUUUAAUGAGCCUAAAAAAUCGUAACACAUGUAGCUCUUGCUACAGUUGUAAGUUGUGAUCCUAAAUUUGAACUUGAUGGUGCUGAAAUUACUAAUGAAUUCUGGGUAGUGCAUGUUGAUAUGGCACUUGUGAAAACUGAAGAUUGGGUACGGAGUCGCAAAAACUGCAAUACUCUUGGUAAUGCAGAUUUGUUUUUGCAUCUCAACCUUUGUAAGUGAGUAAUAUCCUCCCUCUAUGACUACUUGCAUCAUGUCAAUGCAUUGUGUGUGUUAACAGUUCAUUUUGUUUUUUUGUUUGUAGAUUCAAAAGAUAAAUGGAUGAUUCUAUUGGUGUGUGUGGCAAGUAUACUACAAGGAUGAUGAUGAUGAUGUUCCUGUUCAUGAUGAUGAAGACGGAUGGUGUCAGUUUUAAUUAAGUUGUAGGGAUGAUGUUCCUCGAUUGUGUUUUAGUUACGUUGUAGGGAUGUUUAUGGAUGCUUUCAAUUUAAGUUUCGCCGUCAAGAAACAUUUAGAUUAUACUUCCAUUUGGAUGAUUUUUCUUGUGUAAUAUGCACUAUUGUAAUCCAACAGUUUUAUUUAAUAUAUGAUUUCUUCCUCCCGUGAGUAUAUUCUCUUGUUUGUCUUUACUGGAAAUUCAUAUCACCAUUAUGUAAAGCACUAAUUUAAUUGCUGGAAAUAUGUAUAAAAAAUAUUAUUCAUAUUAUAUAUGAACCACGUUGCAAAUUCUUUGUUGCCAAGCCCUGGAACUUUGUUUCCUAUACAAUAAGCACCAACACAUAGAAGUGUUGCACAAG